This 253-nucleotide ribosomal RNA is filed under the name uncultured bacterium. Its description in RNAcentral is "partial 16S ribosomal RNA". It matches the Rfam family "Bacterial small subunit ribosomal RNA", at positions 524 to 776 of the family's 1533-position model. The record is from RNAcentral.
UACGUAGGGUGCGAGCGUUAAUCGGAAUUACUGGGCGUAAAGCGUGCGCAGGCGGUCUGCUAAGACAGGUGUGAAAUCCCUGGGCUCAACCUAGGAAUUGCGCUUGUGACUGGCGGGCUAGAGUACGGUAGAGGGGGGUGGAAUUGCUGGUGUAGCAGUGAAAUGCGUAGAGAUCAGGAGGAAGACCGAUGGCGGAGGCGGCCCCCUGGGGCUGUACUGACGCUCAGGCUCGAAAGCGUGGGGAGCAAACAGG